Molecule: long non-coding RNA, 1229 nt
Filed under: Ornithorhynchus anatinus (platypus)
Lineage: Eukaryota; Metazoa; Chordata; Mammalia; Monotremata; Ornithorhynchidae
Description: lncRNA (ENSOANG00000044578.1)
Source: RNAcentral
UCUGCACACAACAAGCGCUCAAUAAAGACGAUUGAAUGAAUGAAUGAAUGAAAGGCCGCGGGCUGGGGGUGGGUGGGGUGGCGAUGGGGCGCGUUCGUGACGCCAGGGGGCGCCCUCGACUCGAAGCGCAAACGGGGCCCCCGGCGCAGCCCCGCGGCUGAGCGUUGUAGCAAGCGAGGUGGGCGGGCAGGCGAGGAGGAGGGGAGGCGGUGCUGCGGCCGGCCGAUGGAGCGGCUCAGCAUGUCGUCCCUAAGGAGGAGGGGCUACCACCGUUCGGGCCGCCGGGGCAGAAAGUCCGGGAGCAAGCCGGCGCCUCAGCCCCGGGAGGAGCUGAAGCCUCCGCGCCCGGUUCCGGCCGGUUGGGGAGCAGCGGUGCUGCUUGGCCCCAGGUCGCGGGAAUCGACGGCAUCUUGGGCCCGGCCCAUGGCCCUGCCCACACCCAGCUCACUGCAGAUUUUCCUCUGUCUCUGGUCUGAAUCUGACAAGAACUCAUCAGUAACUGGGGAUUGAUUGGAGCAUACUUUUUUUGUGAGUACGUUUUGUUUCAUGAAACCCUAAGCAUAUUGUUUAAUUGAUAGAAGGGCAUGUGGUGGACUUAAAUGGAGAAUUUUUCCAAAAGCUAAGACUUAUAAAACAAACUCCAUACAUCACUCCACUGCCCAGAUUAUCUUUCUAAAGAAAUGUUCUGGGCAUGUCACCCCCCCUUCUCAAAAAUCUCCAUGGUUGCCUAUCCACCUUCUUAUCAAAGAAAAACUGAUCACUAUUGGCUUUAAAGCUCUCCAUCACCGUGCCCCCUUCUACCUCACUUCUCUCCUUCUACAUCCCAGCCCGCACCCUCUACUACCCUGGUGCUAACCUUCUCACUGUGCCUCCAUCUCACCUGUCCCGCCGUCGACUCCUGGCCCAUGUCCUACUUCUGGCCUGGAAUGCCCUCCCUCCUCACAUCCACCAGACAAUCACUCUCCCCCUACUCUUCAAAGCCCAACUGAAGGCGCACCUCCUCCAAGAGGCCUUCCCAGACUAAGCCCCCCUUUCGGUCAGCUCCCCCCCUUCCGUGUCUUCCACCCUUUGCUCUUCCCCCCUCCCUGCCCCACAGCACUUAUAUAUCUAUAAUUUUGUAUUGAUGUCUGUUUACUUGUAUUGAUGUCUGUCUCCCCCCCCCCCCCCGCACCCAGACUGUGAACCCGUUGUGGGCAGGGAUUGUCUCUAUUGCUGUAUUUGUACUUUCC